UACGUAGGGUGCAAGCGUUAAUCGGAAUUACUGGGCGUAAAGCGUGCGCAGGCGGUUUUGUAAGUUUGUCGUGAAAGCCCCGGGCUCAACCUGGGAAUUGCGAUGAAGACUGCAAGGCUUGAAUCUGGCAGAGGGGGGUAGAACUCCACGUGUAGCAGUGAAAUGCGUAGAGAUGUGGAGGAACACCGAUGGCGAAGGCAGCCCCCUGGGUCAAGAUUGACGCUCAUGCACGAAAGCGUGGGGAGCAAACAGG
Molecule: ribosomal RNA, 253 nt
Filed under: uncultured bacterium
Lineage: Bacteria
Description: partial 16S ribosomal RNA
Rfam family: Bacterial small subunit ribosomal RNA
Source: RNAcentral